UAGGGAAUCUUCCGCAAUGGGCGAAAGCCUGACGGAGCAACGCCGCGUGAGUGAUGAAGGUCUUCGGAUCGUAAAACUCUGUUAUUAGGGAAGAACAAAUGUGCAAGUAACUAUGCACGUCUUGACGGUACCUAAUUAGAAAGCCACGGCUAACUACGUGCCAGCAGCCGCGGUAAUACGUAGGUGGCAAGCGUUAUCCGGCAUUAUUGGGCGUAAAGCGCGCGUAGGCGGUUUUUUAAGUCUGAUGUGAAAGCCCACGGCUCAACCGUAGAAGUUCAGUGGAGACUGGAUAACUUGAGUGCAGAAGAGGAAAGUGGAAUUCCAUGUGUAGCGGUGAAAUGCGCAGAGAUGUGGAGGAACACCAGUGGCGAAGGCGACUUUCUGGUCUGUAACUGACGCUGAUGUGCGAAAGCGUGGGAAUCGAACAGG
This 429-nucleotide ribosomal RNA is filed under the name Bacteroidota bacterium. Its description in RNAcentral is "Bacteroidetes bacterium partial 16S ribosomal RNA". It matches the Rfam family "Bacterial small subunit ribosomal RNA", at positions 355 to 776 of the family's 1533-position model. Lineage: Bacteria; Pseudomonadati; Bacteroidota. The record is from RNAcentral.